Long non-coding RNA from Artibeus jamaicensis (Jamaican fruit-eating bat), 995 nucleotides. RefSeq lists it as uncharacterized. The record is from RefSeq and is a predicted model, not a curated record. Lineage: Eukaryota; Metazoa; Chordata; Mammalia; Chiroptera; Phyllostomidae. The transcript has 5 exons.
AGUAGGUACUGCUUCGUUUCACAGCUGUCAAAGUUGAGUCUUAGAGUUGCUGCUGGCUCCAAGGUGCACAGCAAGAAGGUGGCUGAGUCAGAUCUGAGACCAGAACUCAAUUACUGAACCACUACACUACCCUCCCCUAUGGGUGUCCCAUCUGUUCCCAUGGUCAGAGCAUCACCCUUGGCAGAGCAACACCUGUUUGCAGUGAACUGCCCUCAGCAUGCAGAGGUAACAGGGCAGGGAGGAAGAUGGCAACGGAGUAGGAUGGAGUGGAUUCCAGCUCCCCUACUUGUGGGUGAAAAUCCUGGCAGAUCUAUAGAGAAGCAGCGCACUAAUCCAUCGGUUAUCCAGCAUUUGUGAAAUUAAAAAAACAGAGAUUGUGACGGACACUGAAACACCAGAAAGCAGAAGGAAACAUCCAGUGUCCCACAAAUGGAGAAUGGAUAAACAGACUGUGGCAUACCCACACAAUGGAAUUCUACACAGCAUUCAAAAGGAAUGAGUGUUGAUAUACCCAACUACAUGCAUGAAUCACAAAGCAUGAAAAAAGCCAGAUUCAAAAGAGCACAUAGAUCAUAGGAUUCCAGGACCAGUUGCUUUAGGGGAAGUCGGCUGCUACCUCACGAGAAUGCUCAAGCAGUUCACAAAGACGCAUGAAAGGGAUGGAACUGAGCUUCCUGGCAAGAGCCACCCCCAUGUGAAUCAUAUUGGAAGUGAGUCCUCUAGCCCCCGUAGUGUCUUCUGAUGGCUGCAAUUCUGACCCAAUUCUCACCUGCAACCUCAUGAGAGAACCCGAACCAGAACCAUCCAACCAAGAUGCUCCUGAAUUCCUGGCCAGUAGAUAUUGUGUGAGAUAAAAAAGUAUUUGUUAUUUUAUGUAUCCAAGUUUGGGGGGUAAUUUGUUAUGCAUCAGUAUGUAACUAAUAUACCAUAUUUCCUGGUAUAAUAUAAGACUCAAUAAAUACUGAAACACCAACCCAAAAGAACCUAUGCACCCC